Molecule: long non-coding RNA, 1336 nt
Filed under: Homo sapiens (human)
Lineage: Eukaryota; Metazoa; Chordata; Mammalia; Primates; Hominidae
Description: HEXIM2 antisense RNA 1, transcript variant 1 (HEXIM2-AS1)
Source: RNAcentral
GAGGAAGGCGACGAGAAGCUCGGCGGCCAUCGCCGCCAUUUUGGGCUGGGAGGAGGCAGCGGAGGGACUCGCUGCGCACAUCAAGAAAGAAAACCAAGGCACUAGAAAGCAAGCACACUUAAGUAUUGAAGAUAAUUACAUCUUAAAUUUUGCCUGAACUGUAUAUUGUAGCAUACUUAAACCCAUUCAAGGAAAAAAUUGGCAAAUUGAAAAUUCUCCCAUUAAAGAUUGAUAUUUUUGCAAACUGACAAAUUUAACGAUUUCGGUACCCCUCCCCAAAAAUGCAGUCACAUAAAAUAUAUCAAUACUAUUUUGAAUUAGCUCUAGAAAUCACACUGAAACUAUGUUACAUUUACAAAUAUUAAAUUUAUUAUAACUAAAAUGAAUUUAAUUGUUCUCAGAUUUGGCCACCUUAUAGCUCCGUUUAAGGAGGGGAUUUGUUAAAAACAAAAAUGCAUUAUAACUUGGUCAAAUUACUUUCACAUUAAGGAAAAAAACUUCUAAAAAGGAAAACAAGAAAAGCAACUCUUCAGUUUCACAUAAUUAAAAGAACAGGAGAAAGCACGCAAGCUACAUAUAGCUAAAUUUACGAAACCAAAGCCAGGGGGAUUUCUCUUCUGAUUAUGUGUCAUAAAAAGGUCCACUGUCUUAUAUACACAUGUAUAUAAUGUUACAUUCCAUCACUGUAAAAAGUCCCCUUUGCCCCCUCCCCCAAAAAAGUUUCAGUCUAGUCUCCAAACUUGGAAAGCGGCGCUCGCUCCUGCUGCCGGUGCAGUUCGUUCUCGGUCAGCAGCUGGAGGUUCUCGGCGCGCAGCCGGUCCAGCUCCAGCUCCAGCUCCCGCACACGCGCGUCGUCGCCACCCAGCCGCUUGCUCUCCAGCCGCAGCCGGUUGUUCUCGUCCUCCAUGCGCGAGAGGCACUUCUCCAGUUCCAGGUACUCCUUGAUGAGCUCCUGCUUGCUCAUGUUCUGCAGGCUCUCCGUGUGGUACCGCUCGUACGUCUCCGAGAAGUCCCGCUGCAGAAACUCGCUGCCGUCCCCUCCCAUCCCAUCGCUGCCCCCAUCCUCCUCACCCCCUUCUUCCAUGAAGUCGUCAUCGCUGGUGUCGUCGGAUUUGGCGGCGGCCCGCUUGGAGUACAGGCCGGUUUUGAGAUCCGGCUCCUCCUGGUCGUGAUCAUCCAUGAGGAACUGCGUGGUGUUAUAGGGCGCGACCGGCUGGCCCUUGGCGAACAUCUCGGCUCGGAUCCUUGAAGCUCGAAGGCUCUGUUUCUCGUCGAACUUUUUCUUCUCUUCCCAGGUCAGCUUGUAGUACGGUUUCCAAUGCCGCUUCUUCUUGGA